GAUGAACGCUGGCGGCGUGCCUAAUACAUGCAAGUCGAGCGAACGGACGAGAAGCUUGCUUCUCUGAUGUUAGCGGCGGACGGGUGAGUAACACGUGGAUAACCUACCUAUAAGACUGGGAUAACUUCGGGAAACCGGAGCUAAUACCGGAUGAUAUUUUGAACCGCAUGGUUCAAAAGUGAAAGACGGUCUUGCUGUCACUUAUAGAUGGAUCCGCGCUGCAUUAGCUAGUUGGUAAGGUAACGGCUUACCAAGGCAACGAUGCAUAGCCGACCUGAGAGGGUGAUCGGCCACACUGGAACGGAGACACGGUCCAGACUCCUACGGGAGGCAGCAGUAGGGAAUCUUCCGCAAUGGGCGAAAGCCUGACGGAGCAACGCCGCGUGAGUGAUGAAGGUCUUCGGAUCGUAAAACUCUGUUAUUAGGGAAGAACAGAUGUGUAAGUAACUGUGCACAUCUUGACGGUACCUAAUCAGAAAGCCACGGCUAACUACGUG
RNAcentral lists this ribosomal RNA (497 nucleotides) under uncultured bacterium. RNAcentral describes it as "partial 16S ribosomal RNA". It matches the Rfam family "Bacterial small subunit ribosomal RNA", at positions 28 to 507 of the family's 1533-position model. The record is from RNAcentral.